GAGCUCAUACUCCAUUUUGUAGCUCAUGUUCUAAAGUUGUAAUGAUACAGAGAUUAAUAUGGCCCUUGUACAAGAAUGACACAAAAAAUCACAAAGCAUUCCAUAUUUUA
This is a small nuclear RNA of Microcebus murinus (gray mouse lemur), 110 nucleotides long. The record is from Ensembl. Lineage: Eukaryota; Metazoa; Chordata; Mammalia; Primates; Cheirogaleidae.